CACCGCGGUUAUACGAGAGGCCCAAAUUGAUACCCGUUGGCGUAAAGCGUGGUUAGGUUUAAACUUACACUAAAGCCAAAUAUCUUCAAGACUGUUAUACGUGCACGAAGACAAGAAGUUCAACUACGAAAGUGGCUUUAUUUAUUCUGAACCCACGAAAGCUAAGAUA
Molecule: ribosomal RNA, 169 nt
Filed under: Trichodon trichodon
Lineage: Eukaryota; Metazoa; Chordata; Actinopteri; Perciformes; Trichodontidae
Description: partial small subunit ribosomal RNA
Source: RNAcentral